UUAAUCGAAAUCGGUAACUUGAUCAUUCGUUACAUACAAGGCGAGUUAAUUAAACGAGAGAGGUAGUGAGCGAAUGAACCUGACGGACGUUCGAAGUGAACUUCUUUGAAGUCUAAUCUCUAAUGGAACAGCCAUUGCAAUUAGGUAUACCAGUGCAGAAAAUUUGACCGGACCCUGGUCGGGCCCAGACCAGGCACGACCGGGGCCAGAUCUGGCAACCUGAUCAGGGACCGAUCGAAAUAAAUCAGGGAACCCGACCAGGGCCAUGGUAAUUUGCCCGUUCUUAUAGUAAUUGUAAUUUUCAAUAAAUUAUAAUUAUUUUUGUCUAAUUAAUAAAUAAAACAAUAAAAUUUA
Leptopilina boulardi is the source of this 354-nucleotide long non-coding RNA. RefSeq lists it as uncharacterized. The transcript has 2 exons. Lineage: Eukaryota; Metazoa; Arthropoda; Insecta; Hymenoptera; Figitidae. The record is from RefSeq and is a predicted model, not a curated record.